Molecule: ribosomal RNA, 446 nt
Filed under: uncultured bacterium
Lineage: Bacteria
Description: partial 16S ribosomal RNA
Rfam family: Bacterial small subunit ribosomal RNA
Source: RNAcentral
CCUACGGGAGGCAGCAGUCGAGAAUCAUUCACAAUGGGGGAAACCCUGAUGGUGCGACGCCGCGUGGGGGAAUGAAGGUCUUCGGAUUGUAAACCCCUGUCAUGUGGGAGCAAAUUAAAAAGAUAGUACCACAAGAGGAAGAGACGGCUAACUCUGUGCCAGCAGCCGCGGUAAUACAGAGGUCUCAAGCGUUGUUCGGAAUCACUGGGCGUAAAGAGUGCGUAGGCUGUUUCGUAAGUCGGGUGUGAAAGGCGCGGGCUCAACCCGCGGACGGCACAUGAUACUGCGAGACUAGAGUAAUGGAGGGGGAACAGGAAUGCGCGGUGUAGCAGUGAAAUGCGUAGAUAUCGAGAGGAACACUCGUGGCGAAGGCGGGUUCCUGGACAUUAACUGACGCUGAGGCACGAAGGCCAGGGGAGCGAAAGGGAUUAGAUACCCCAGUAGUC